Molecule: long non-coding RNA, 339 nt
Filed under: Nicotiana benthamiana
Lineage: Eukaryota; Viridiplantae; Streptophyta; Magnoliopsida; Solanales; Solanaceae
Description: long non-coding RNA (NBEN_LNC001946)
Source: RNAcentral
ACUUUUGAUUGAGAUUAUUUAGUAAGGGAUAAAUUCCAAUAUUCUCCUCCCUUAUCCCCUAGGACAAAACAAAGCAAAGUAAACAAUGAUGUCUAUACCAAAACAUUUAAAAAGCUUGAUAGUAAUGCAUUUGCCUACAACCAUAUCAGGUUGCAAGAAAUGGUUUUUAUGUUCUUCGUACCGGGUGUGAGGCUAGCUUGAUAGAGUUUCGUCUUAGAUUGUUAGUGGUUAAUGUUGUGUUCACACUAUUCAUUCGUUAUCCAUAGUAUAUGGUUGGUUAUUGUUAUUGCUUUUUAUCGAUUUUCUGGUUCUUAUGUCGUUGUUAUUAUUCUAUGUUUU